GCAUGUGAGGAAACGUUUCAAGGCUUCGUGGAUGACGUUGAAACCCGAAUUCGCGCCGAAACUGCUCUGGAUGCACGGGUGAUGCCAACUACCCUUGCUUCUGUUUACUAGCAGUGCUGUCACCAAUUUUUCUCUGAUCUGCAGCAGGUUCACCAUAGCUCAUCAAGCAAUAUCAUAUGCUAACAUCUUAAAUCUUGCAGGGAAAGAUAAAGUGGGUAGCAGAUCUAGUAUGGACCAAGCUGUCUGGCGUGUUCAGCAAGGAGGUGCUGCAUGCACAGCAUGCAUCCACCUUCUGCCAGAUCCUGGAGACCAAGUCUGGCAAAGGCAAGCGGCAGCUUGACUGUGCUGGGGUCGUCACCACAGUGCUGGCAGUUUUGCAGCGGCUCAGCCAACAAGUGUGCCAUGAAGACC
Molecule: long non-coding RNA, 411 nt
Filed under: Coccomyxa subellipsoidea
Lineage: Eukaryota; Viridiplantae; Chlorophyta; Trebouxiophyceae; Coccomyxaceae
Description: long non-coding RNA (CSUB_LNC000251)
Source: RNAcentral